AGAGUAGAUCUAUUACAUAAAAUACAAUUAACAUGAACAGAAUCAAAAGUUAAGACUCGGUCAAACCAUGUCAGUCGACAUGUUCAUAUGUUUUCUGGGUUACCCAUAAAAUAGAGAACGUGCUCGACCUUGCUAGUUUGACCGUCCAUAAAAUCCAACCCGUUUACGAAAUAAGUGAUAUUACGGCAUGAUGAUGUAGUCUAACAAACAUACUACAACUUAGAUGCAAGAACCAUAACGAUACAUCAAACCACUUUCUCCAAGCCCUUGAAGAACUUGUCAGAGCUUUCUGGGCUCAUUCUGGGUUACCCAGAAAUGGCCCGGUCAAUGCCGGUCAACGACCUUUGACCUCUUAUAACUUACAAUAUACAACUGAUAUAGGCCUGAUUCUUGAUCCAGAGAAAAGAUGUCAUAGCAUACUACAAGAUCAACGCUUAAAAUAACGAAAACACACAACAGGCCAAGAUCUAUGGGACCUAACAUUCGUUGUCAGACGACUGUUGAACUUUUUUCCAGAUUUUGUAAAAUGUCAAAUCCAAGCCUCUAGAUAUUAUGGAUUCAAUAUCUAGCAACCCAGAUCAUCCUUAGACACUACUAACAACAUAUUCUAACACUCAAACAUAACAUCUAACAACAGAAAAUUGGACAGAUUUUUUAGUACGAUUUUAUACCUUCUUUGAUCACUUUCUGAUUUUGGCUUCUGAUGUUUGUUAUAGUUAUUCGUGGGGAUGGUAUUUGGGGACUGAUAUGGUAAUAAUUUCGGAGGUUCGAGAGAGAGAGAGCUUAGGUUGAGAGUUUGGAGAAAAAUGAGCUAAAUGGUGACUUUUUCUCUCUCUUGAUCUAUAUAUACUAGUGUAUGAUGCAUGUAUGGCUGAUGUAUAUUGCUUGUUGCUGGAGUUUUGUGUCUC
RNAcentral lists this long non-coding RNA (908 nucleotides) under Panax ginseng (ginseng). RNAcentral describes it as "long non-coding RNA (PGIN_LNC010473)". The record is from RNAcentral. Lineage: Eukaryota; Viridiplantae; Streptophyta; Magnoliopsida; Apiales; Araliaceae.